This 250-nucleotide ribosomal RNA is filed under the name uncultured bacterium. RNAcentral describes it as "partial 16S ribosomal RNA". It matches the Rfam family "Bacterial small subunit ribosomal RNA", at positions 111 to 354 of the family's 1533-position model. The record is from RNAcentral.
UAACACGUGAGUAACCUGCCCUAAAGUCUGGGAUACCACUUGGAAACAGGUGCUAAUACCGGAUAACAACAAUAGCUGCAUGGCUAUUGCUUAAAAGGCGGCGAAAGCUGUCGCUAAAGGAUGGACCCGCGGUGCAUUAGCUAGUUGGUAAGGUAAUGGCUUACCAAGGCGACGAUGCAUAGCCGAGUUGAGAGACUGAUCGGCCACAUUGGGACUGAGACACGGCCCAAACUCCUACGGGAGGCAGCAG